ACUCUCUGAGCCUUGGUGUGACUUCAUUUCAGAUGGUUCUUCAAGUAUUCUAUCCGAUGCCAGACUCUUGCUCUCUUCAGGGAGAAAACAAGCAACAGGCACAACUUUCGGAGAUUUUUUUUUGCGAGCUGCAUAAACUCGCGCUUUCACAGAGCUGCUGGAGGGACUCCGCCCUGGCCAUGUGUGUAGGAAGUCGCGGCCUCCCAGCGUGCACAGAACCCAGCCUCUGGUGCACAGGCUGAGUUGAUUCCCAGGCACUGUCACUUAUCUCUCCCCUGCUCUUGCCAGAAUUCAGAAACUGAAAAUAUUUACUUUGUGUUGGCUUGACAAAACCCAGUAAAUAGCAACAUUUGCAGGGCCCAGAACACAUGCCAAAGGAGCAGAGGAAAGAGGGUCCGAAUAGGCCGUUAUACUUACAAGAGGGGUUCUCUGAGCUGGGAUGCGAAACCCAGAGACAGUCAAGUCUCAGAUUUCUUUGGCCUCUGAAGUCAGCAUUUAUUGACCAGGCUUUGGAACCGAAUAAAAGUAUGAUCUGCCCCCCAUUUUCAUUUCUAAAUCUCUUUCUGGGAAAUGUAGCUGAAAAGGGUUUUCAAGUCAUUUUCUUUGUUUCUAUUAGGCGAUUGCUCAUUCACUCAAUGAGUAAUUUAAUACAUUUUUACUGAACUACCACCAUUUUCUAGGAUCUGUUCUGGGUGAUGGAGAUUCAAUAAAGACCAAAAAGAAUCUCUCAACUCAAGAAAAUAAAUCAACAGGUUAAUUUCAGAUUGAGACAAAAGGUAUGAAAGAAUCAAACUAAUGGAUUUGAUAGAGAAUAAUUGUGAAGCUGUGUUAGAUAAGGGAUUAGAGCCGGUUUCUCUGAGAUGCUAGUAUUCGACUCAAGACCUAAAGGGAAAGAGGCAGCCAUGAAAAAAACUAGUACACCAGAUUUUAAGGCAGAAGGAACUGUAAAUGUAAAGAUCCUAUUGGGGCAAGUGUGAGCUUCAUAGACUAAAGGAAUGAAAAGAUCCUGGAGGGCAGGGACCAAGUGAAUGAAGGGUAUGGGGUAGAAGUUAUCUAUAUCACUAUCUCACUACCGUUAUUUUUUCAAGCUAUUUUUUUUUAUUCUUGUACAUGACGCUGCACCUCUUUAAUCACCAGGAACAUAAAAAUGCUUGAUGUAAGCAGAGUUUCUUGCAGAAGUUAAGUGGAAGCAAAAUGAAGCACUGCCAACAUCCUCCAAAGACAUGGUGAAAUGGUGAAGCCCAGGAGGCUAGGCGACACUAGGACACAUGGCCACACAACAACCUGAUCUAAAUUCUAGCUGGAAGGAGAACAGAGCAGAGUCCGCUUUUAACCUGGCCCUGAGCCGCUGAGAAUGAGGAAGAGGCUGCAGCAGAAGGCCAUUUGUCUUUGUUAUUAGGAAAUAAAUCAACCUUUGUUUU
Molecule: long non-coding RNA, 1421 nt
Organism: Physeter macrocephalus (sperm whale)
Lineage: Eukaryota; Metazoa; Chordata; Mammalia; Artiodactyla; Physeteridae
Exons: 3
Source: RefSeq, a predicted model, not a curated record